GACGAACGCUGGCGGCGUGCUUAACACAUGCAAGUCGAACGGAAAGGCCCUGCUUUUGUGGGGUGCUCGAGUGGCGAACGGGUGAGUAACACGUGAGUAACCUGCCCUUGACUUUGGGAUAACUUCAGGAAACUGGGGCUAAUACCGGAUAGGAGCUCCUGCUGCAUGGUGGGGGUUGGAAAGUUUCGGCGGUUGGGGGUGGACUCGCGGGUUAUCAGCUUGUUGGUGGGGUAGUGGCUUACCAAGGCUUUGACGGGUAGCAGGCCUGCGAGGGUGACCGGCCACAUUGGGACUGAGAUACGGCCCAGACUCCUACGGGAGGCAGCAGUAGCGAAUAUUGCACAAUGGGCGGAAGCCUGAUGCAGCAACGCCGCGUGCGGGAUGACGGCCUUCGGGUUGUGAACCGCUUUCGCCUGUGACGAAGCGUGAGUGACGGUAAUGGGUAAAGAAGCACCGGCUAACUACGUG
Molecule: ribosomal RNA, 468 nt
Filed under: uncultured bacterium
Lineage: Bacteria
Description: partial 16S ribosomal RNA
Rfam family: Bacterial small subunit ribosomal RNA
Source: RNAcentral